AAAACAUAGGUAACGUUUUUAAUUGAUUGAAAUAGGCAGAGGCAGUAGAAACAUUUCUUAAAGACCUACAAGCCUUUCAUUGACAUCAAUGUCUACCUGUGACAUUCUUAACUCAACAUGGACAACACCAGAGUCUAUACUGAGUGGCUGGACAGAAGAAAAAGAUGUCGAUGAUAAUGUCAGCAAUUUCGCCAAGCAAAUUCGCAAAGCUGUGGAACGUGAUCAAAAACAAACAUUUUCAAAGUUUGACGCCAUCAGAUUCAGAAAACAGAUUGUGAAUGGCUGGAACUAUUGGGUCAAGGUUUGUAUAGAAGAUGAAAAUUCAAGAUGUUUGCACAUUAAAUUUUGGCUGGCCAUGGGAGUUGACGCAAAGCCUGUACUAAUUAGCGUUAUUCCAAAUAAAACGAAGAACGACCCAAUAAACGUUUGAGUCUGCAUGAAGUUCCGCAGUCAUAGCCCAAGAGAUUUGUUGUUUUUUAGAGAAAUGUAUUUUUGUUUCAAAAUGUCUCAUCUGAUGCUUAGUCAAGUGCUAAAUAUAAUUUUUUUAUUGUCUUCAAUGUCUUGUACUAUAAUUUAUUAUUUGUCAUAAAAAUCGUUAAAAUUAGCCAAAUUAUGUUGUCAUACUCGAUAAUACAUUAAUCUCAUAAUUGUUCACUAUGGCAUAUAUUAUAGUUGUUUUAACCUUCUCUAGUGACAACUUAUCAAUCCUGUGUUAUCCAAUAAUGUCUGUUACUUUCAACACAAAAAUGUGAUUCACCUGUUUUACUUUACCUAAAGAUAAAAUCAACUUGUUAUAAUGUCUUUCAAAGUAGUCGUGAAUAUAAAUAACAUCAAAAUACGUUUUUCAACCCAUAAUGUUUUUAAUUGAUAUAUAUUGCCCAAUGAUAGCUUUCAUUCCUUGUAUAUUGCCUAGUAGUAGCUUUUAUUUCAUUUACAUUGCCGACUGUAGCUUUCAAUUCAUAUAAAUUGUCAAAUUGUAUACUUCAUUUCGUAUACAUUGCCUAGUGUUAGCUUUCAUUUCAUUUACAUUGCCUAGUGGUAGCUUUCAUUUCAUAUUCAUUGCCUAGUGGUAGCUUUCAUUUCAUUUACAUUGCCUAGUGGUAGCUUUCAUUUCAUAUAAAUUGCCUAAUGGUAGCUUUCAUUUCAUUUACAUUACUAAAUGAUUUUCACACGUUAUACUUUGCCUUAAAGGUUUAAUUCACUUGUUAAAUAUAAUAAUGUUAUAAAUUUAAUUUUACUGUUUUCUUAGAGAUUUAAAACGUUCCUUUAAAAAGAAAAAGAUAAUUGGCUCAUAAUUUUCCCAACACGUUAUGCACCAUUAUUGUGUUGUAUCAAAUUUUUAAAGUCUUUCAUUAGUAAACUAGAUUAUGGACGCAGACGAAGGCUUUAAAAUCAUCCAGAGCCGUUCCGUGCAUCAGGCAGCUAAACGUGCGCACCUUGUAUUGUAAAAACUUGUAUUGUAAAAGUAAUUUUAAAAAAGUAGUAACAGUUUUGGAAAUGUUGAUUUUCGUUAAAGUCUUGAAAACAUUUGCUAUAAAGCUAAAUCUAUUUUAAAAAUUUGAAAACCAUAAAACUAUUCUAACAUAAUAAACGUCACUAUUUUGUUUUCCAUUCAUUGGGAUCAUAUUGUAAUGAACCUCAUCCCUAGAGAACUUAAACUAGAACAGGCGCAAAGCAGCGAGUUUUGAAAACUAUUGAAUAUUAACAUUAGCUGAAGGUAACGCUAUAAGUAAAAUCAAGACAAGACUAAACAUGUAAAAUAAAAAAAAUAAUACUUUUGAAAAAGCUCAUAUUAAUGUGUAACAAUUAGUUUGCAUCUGUCAUGUAAUUAAAUGUGUAAUAGAUCUGUAACAAUAGCAAAUUUGUGCGAUUAGAAAUAUUUUUUACAAAGCUUAUAUCAACUCACUCUGUCUGUCUGUCUGGCCCAAAUCUCGGAUCAAGCUGAAAUUUUGCAGUUGUUUAUUUAGAAACACAAAGAAAAAGGCAUAUUUUUUAUUCCAUUUAAAAGAACAAAUUUGUACAAGUGCUCCUACAAAGCUAUAUCAACUCACUCUGUCUGUCAGUUUGUCUGUUUGAUACAAAUCAAAUUUUUAACACGCUAUAUCUAUCUCUACCCAUUCUCGAUUAAGUUGAAAGUUUAUAAAUUAUUUUGCUGUCGAAGUCAAGACGUAAACCAAUAUAAAAUAUUUAAGCGAAUAGUUAAUUAAACAGUGGAAAUAAACGAAUUGGUUUUAAUUCGAAAAAAAUUGAAACAAAAAUCAUGGAUAUGGCUACAAAUGUGAGCGUGUGUAAACUCUGUCUGUCUGGUAAAAAGUUCGACCAUAUUUUUUCUCCCAUUUCCCUUUCUCAAAUCAA
Biomphalaria glabrata is the source of this 2355-nucleotide long non-coding RNA. RefSeq lists it as uncharacterized. The record is from RefSeq and is a predicted model, not a curated record. Lineage: Eukaryota; Metazoa; Mollusca; Gastropoda; Planorbidae. The transcript is spliced from 4 exons.